Molecule: long non-coding RNA, 319 nt
Filed under: Drosophila guanche
Lineage: Eukaryota; Metazoa; Arthropoda; Insecta; Diptera; Drosophilidae
Source: RNAcentral
AUCAAUGGUACGUAGCCAGUGCUAGUUGCAGGCACAGCGGGCAGAGGGCAUCCUAAUCUGUGAGUCUCUACACACAUUUUGUGCCUUAAGGGUUCCUAAGCUUCAGAGCUGCUACAGGAUUAACCUUUGCGAAAUAUUAGCAACAGCAGGACACACGGCAAGAGAUGCCUUGGAGAAUUGGGUGCAGAACUAAUUGGGCAACGAAGGACAAAAAAUAUAACUAUGAAAAGCCCCAUUGCAGUUGAAGUUGAACAUAUGGCAGGACCUUAAGGAUCUCUGCCUCAACCUUAGGACUUGAGUAUUUCCUCGGCAAAAUACG